GAUAUCAACAUUAUGAAGUACCAUAUGCUUUUUAAGUAUUACAAUGUGUGUGUGUUUUCUUGUGUGAAAGAAACGUUCAGUACUUAGACAUCCCUCUUCUACUGUAAUAUAAGGUGUGUGAUACCUUCAGCUGAAUCAGGUAGGCCCAUGUGCUGUCUGAGCUCCCUAUCACAGCAUGACAAAGAUGUUAGUUGACAGUAAUUGCUGUUAAGGUUGUUCUACUAUUCCCCCUGUAGCCUCCACACAAUAUGAUCAGAGCUGAUUCUGUCGGCUACAACAAACCAUCAAUCCACCAAACUAUUUUGUGUUCUCUAUUUUGUAUUUUCUGACACUGCGUCAACACCGAAAAGGGCUGACAAAAUUGAACAACUAAUUUUGGCGGCUUAAACGGAGGGUGGUUUUAAAACAGCCACCGUAGAAAGAGACGUUUUAAUGGCCCUUUGUUUCUUAAUUACAGAUUGUAAUUGAAUAUAAUGUGAUAUCUCCUCUGUUGCCUUUAGCAGCGUGCCCUCGCUACAAUAGAGUAAUCCUUACACCCACCAGCUCAUUCAGGGCUCCUGACAGUGAGCAGUGGUUCUCAGCCAACCCCAAAAGGAGAAAUGGAGAAUGGAGAAUCGUUUGGCUUUGGCUGGGGAAAAGAGACAGCCCUUACAGAAUUACCCACCAACAAAGGACCAAGCAGCGGAAGAAGGCUGGCGAGGUAAGGGAGACCGGGAGGCACCCCCAAGAAAUUUUUAGGGGGGGGCACAAGGGGAGUUUUGCGGGGCAAGAAUGGAGCCCCAGGCCAGCUCCCCGCACUAGCAUGGAGGUGCGUAUUCGCAAUCUGGUACGCCCAAUACCAGCACCACGCACCAGGAGUCUAGUGUGUCAACCCAGCCUCGCCAGUCAACAGUCGUCAUCAGAGCUGCCCGCCAGUCAACAGUCGUCAUCAGAGCUGCCCGCCUGAACUGCCGGAGUGGCCAGACUGCGCUGAACUGCCGGAGUGGCCAGACUGCCCUGAACUGCCGGAGUGGCCAGACUGCCCUGAACUGCCGGAGUGGCCAGACUGCCCUGAACUGCCGG
Molecule: long non-coding RNA, 1062 nt
Filed under: Salmo salar (Atlantic salmon)
Lineage: Eukaryota; Metazoa; Chordata; Actinopteri; Salmoniformes; Salmonidae
Description: lncRNA (ENSSSAG00000081810.1)
Source: RNAcentral